UAUUCAAACAUUGUUAUCCACCAAUCAAACUGUGUUUAUCUCUAACCAUCGAACCCUAAAUCCAACUCUCUCCAUCAAACCCUAACCCCAUAUCACUGCAUCAACCAAUCUUUUCUUUGUUCGCUGAAGACUCAUCUCUAAUAGAUGCAGACUCUAGAAUAAGUCAGAUACAAUUUUUCCCUUUUUCGAACCCUAAAAUCGAAGGAAGAACUGAAGGAAGAUCUCUCUCUCUCUCUCUCUCUCUAUAUAUAUAUAUAUAUAUAUAUCGAUCUCGUGGAAUCUGUUGUAAGGGAAAUUUGAUUCCAUGUAGCUUGGAGUGAUAAUACAAUUGAGGACAAGACCAAGACUACCACCGAUAAG
Medicago truncatula (barrel medic) is the source of this 360-nucleotide long non-coding RNA. RefSeq lists it as uncharacterized. The record is from RefSeq and is a predicted model, not a curated record. The transcript has 3 exons. NCBI's taxonomy places the organism in Eukaryota, Viridiplantae, Streptophyta, Magnoliopsida, Fabales, Fabaceae.